CCUACGGGAGGCAGCAGUGGGGAAUUUUGGACAAUGGGCGCAAGCCUGAUCCAGCCAUUCCGCGUGAGUGAAGAAGGCCUUCGGGUUGUAAAGCUCUUUCGCGAGGGAAGAAAACUUACCAUCGAAUAAAUGGUGAGGCUGACGGUACCUUGAUAAGAAGCACCGGCUAACUACGUGCCAGCAGCCGCGGUAAUACGUAGGGUGCGAGCGUUAAUCGGAAUUACUGGGCGUAAAGCGUGCGCAGGCGGUUUUGUAAGUCAGAUGUGAAAUCCCCGAGCUCAACUUGGGAACUGCGUUUGAAACUACAAGACUAGAAUAUGUCAGAGGGGGGUAGAAUUCCACGUGUAGCAGUGAAAUGCGUAGAGAUGUGGAGGAAUACCAAUGGCGAAGGCAGCCCCCUGGGAUAAUAUUGACGCUCAUGCACGAAAGCGUGGGGAGCAAACAGGAUUAGAUACCCUGGUAGUCCACGCCCUAAACGAUGUCUACUAGUUGUUGGUGGAGUAAAAUCCAUGAGUAACGCAGCUAACGCGUGAAGUAGACCGCCUGGGGAGUACGGUCGCAAGNUUAAAACUUAAAGGAAUUGACGNGNGNGAGAGCGACGACGACGACGAGGAGGAGG
RNAcentral lists this ribosomal RNA (619 nucleotides) under uncultured bacterium. Its description in RNAcentral is "bacterial SSU rRNA". It matches the Rfam family "Bacterial small subunit ribosomal RNA", at positions 338 to 950 of the family's 1533-position model. The record is from RNAcentral.